Molecule: long non-coding RNA, 271 nt
Organism: Capra hircus (goat)
Lineage: Eukaryota; Metazoa; Chordata; Mammalia; Artiodactyla; Bovidae
Exons: 4
Source: RefSeq, a predicted model, not a curated record
GAUCUCCUCCUCGCACAACACGUACCUGACCGGGGACCAGUUCUCCAGCGAGUCCUCCCUGGAAGCCUACGCUCGCUGCCUGCGGAUGGGCUGCCGCUGCAUCGAGUUGGACUGCUGGGACGGCCCAGACGGGAUGCCAGUCAUUUACCACGGACACACUCUGACCACCAAGAUCAAGUUCUCAGACGUCCUGCACACCAUCAAGGAGCAUGCCUUUGUGGCCUCAGAGUACCCGGUCAUCCUGUCUAUCGAGGACCACUGCAGCAUUGCC